CCGUGGUAGGCAAUCUGCCUAGGAGAGCAAACUCUAAACAAACCCGGGCAGGUGGAGCUCGUUAGCCGUGGUAGGCAGUUCACCUAGGAGAGCAAACUCUAAACAAACCCGGGCAGGUGGAGCUCGUUAGCCGUGGUAGGCAGUUCACCUAGGAGAGCAAACUCCGAACAACAAACCCGGGCAGGUGGAGCUCGUUAGCCGUGGUAGGCAGUUCACCUAGGAGAGCAAACUCCAAACAACAAACCCGGGCAGGUGGAGCUCGUUAGCCGUGGUAGGCAGUUCACCUAGGAGAGCAAACUCCGAACAACAAACCCGGGCAGGUGGAGCUCGUUAGCCGUGGUAGGCAGUUCACCUAGGAGAGCAAACUCCGAACAACAAACCCGGGCAGGUGGAGCUCGUUAGCCGUGGUAGGCAGUUCACCUAGGAGAGCAAACUCCGAACAACAAACCCGGGCUUGUGGUGCCCGUUAGAUGUCGUAGACAAUCCACGUGAUGGGAACACCAAAGAAAAGGAAAAGGAAAGAGAACACCAGAAAAAGGAAAAUAUAGAAACGAAACAUCGAGAAAAGAAAAAGCAAACACACAUCAUCCACCUUCAGGCCCUGACUAACAUCACCAAAAUUCUGGGUGGGUCUCUUCUGGGGAGAAAAAGGCUCAUCCAGACCAAAGAACAUCAACAAAAGGAUGAUAUAGAAAAGAACAUCUAGAAAAUAUGGAAAAGAAAAAAGAACAGAAAAAAACAUCGGAAAAGAAAA
Long non-coding RNA from Eriocheir sinensis (Chinese mitten crab), 754 nucleotides. RefSeq lists it as uncharacterized. The transcript is spliced from 3 exons. The record is from RefSeq and is a predicted model, not a curated record. Lineage: Eukaryota; Metazoa; Arthropoda; Malacostraca; Decapoda; Varunidae.